RNAcentral lists this non-coding RNA (23 nucleotides) under Arabidopsis thaliana (thale cress). Lineage: Eukaryota; Viridiplantae; Streptophyta; Magnoliopsida; Brassicales; Brassicaceae. The record is from RNAcentral.
CACCGGCAGCAGCUAAACCCGGA